RNAcentral lists this ribosomal RNA (915 nucleotides) under Lactiplantibacillus plantarum. RNAcentral describes it as "bacterial SSU rRNA". It matches the Rfam family "Bacterial small subunit ribosomal RNA", at positions 93 to 987 of the family's 1533-position model. The record is from RNAcentral. Lineage: Bacteria; Bacillati; Bacillota; Bacilli; Lactobacillales; Lactobacillaceae.
GAGUGGCGAACUGGUGAGUAACACGUGGGAAACCUGCCCAGAAGCGGGGGAUAACACCUGGAAACAGAUGCUAAUACCGCAUAACAACUUGGACCGGAUGGUCCGAGCUUGAAAGAUGGCUUCGGCUAUCACUUUUGGAUGGUCCCGCGGCGUAUUAGCUAGAUGGUGGGGUAACGGCUCACCAUGGCAAUGAUACGUAGCCGACCUGAGAGGGUAAUCGGCCACAUUGGGACUGAGACACGGCCCAAACUCCUACGGGAGGCAGCAGUAGGGAAUCUUCCACAAUGGACGAAAGUCUGAUGGAGCAACGCCGCGUGAGUGAAGAAGGGUUUCGGCUCGUAAAACUCUGUUGUUAAAGAAGAACAUAUCUGAGAGUAACUGUUCAGGUAUUGACGGUAUUUAACCAGAAAGCCACGGCUAACUACGUGCCAGCAGCCGCGGUAAUACGUAGGUGGCAAGCGUUGUCCGGAUUUAUUGGGCGUAAAGCGAGCGCAGGCGGUUUUUUAAGUCUGAUGUGAAAGCCUUCGGCUCAACCGAAGAAGUGCAUCGGAAACUGGGAAACUUGAGUGCAGAAGAGGACAGUGGAACUCCAUGUGUAGCGGUGAAAUGCGUAGAUAUAUGGAAGAACACCAGUGGCGAAGGCGGCUGUCUGGUCUGUAACUGACGCUGAGGCUCGAAAGUAUGGGUAGCAAACAGGAUUAGAUACCCUGGUAGUCCAUACCGUAAACGAUGAAUGCUAAGUGUUGGAGGGUUUCCGCCCUUCAGUGCUGCAGCUAACGCAUUAAGCAUUCCGCCUGGGGAGUACGGCCGCAAGGCUGAAACUCAAAGGAAUUGACGGGGGGCCCGCACAAGCGGUGGGAGCAUGUGGGUUUAAUUCCAAAGCUACGCCAAAAAACCUUAACCAGGUCCUGGACA